Molecule: ribosomal RNA, 468 nt
Filed under: uncultured eukaryote
Lineage: Eukaryota
Description: partial 18S ribosomal RNA
Rfam family: Eukaryotic small subunit ribosomal RNA
Source: RNAcentral
AAUACCAAUAUAGGACCCAACGGGUACUAUGUUUGGAAUGAGUACAAUUAAAAACCUUAACGAGGAACAAUUGGAGGGCAAGUCUGGUGCCAGCAGCCGCGGUAAUUCCAGCUCCAAUAGUGUAUAUUAAAGUUGCUGCGGUUAAAAAGCUCGUAGUUGGAUUUCGGAGUUGUUAUCUGAACCUUCUCGCCCUAAAAAGUGGGGGGGCUAAGGUAGCAGUAGUUUUCAUCAUAGUCCAUCAGGAUACUCUCUUGAUGUGUACUGGGUGUUAACCUCCUUUUUUUCUGGUACUUGCUAUCCAGCAAUGGGUAGUUUUGUCCAGAUAGUUUACUUUGAAAAAAUUAGAGUGUUCAAAGCAGGCAUAAUUGGCAUCAUGAAUACAUUAGCAUGGGAUAAUAGAAUAUGACAUUGGUCUUAUUUUGUUGGUUUCUAAGGCCAAAGUAAUGAUUGAUAGGGAUAGUUGGGGCC